This 497-nucleotide ribosomal RNA is filed under the name uncultured bacterium. RNAcentral describes it as "partial 16S ribosomal RNA". It matches the Rfam family "Bacterial small subunit ribosomal RNA", at positions 28 to 507 of the family's 1533-position model. The record is from RNAcentral.
GAUGAACGCUGGCGGCGUGCCUAAUACAUGCAAGUCGAGCGAACGGACGAGAAGCUUGCUUCUCUGAUGUUAGCGGCGGACGGGUGAGUAAUACGUGGAUAACCUACCUAUAAGACUGGGAUAACUUCGGGAAACCGGAGCUAAUACCGGAUAAUAUUUUGAACCGCAUGGUUCAAAAGUGAAAGACGGUCUUGAUGUCACUUAUAGAUGGAUCCGCGCUGCAUUAGCUAGUUGGUAAGGUAACGGCUUACCAAGGCAACGAUGCAUAGCCGACCUGAGAGGGUAAUCGGCCACACUGGAACUGAGACACGGUCCAGACUCCUACGGGAGGCAGCAGUAGGGAAUCUUCCGCAAUGGGCGAAAGCCUGACGGAGCAACGCCGCGUGAGUGAUGAAGGUCUUCGGAUCGUAAAACUCUGUUAUUAGGGAAGAACAUAUGUGUAAGUAACUGUGCACAUCUUGACGGUACCUAAUCAGAAAGCCACGGCUAACUACGUG